RNAcentral lists this long non-coding RNA (852 nucleotides) under Equus caballus (horse). RNAcentral's name for it is "lncRNA (ENSECAG00000059610.1)". Lineage: Eukaryota; Metazoa; Chordata; Mammalia; Perissodactyla; Equidae. The record is from RNAcentral.
AAAGAACCAAGCCCUGUGUGUGCCAACAGAAUAGUCACAAUAGUCACGGAUGCUGCAGCUGCCAGCAUGUAAGUUAACAAGAAGAGAGGCCAGGAGCCAUGAGUCAACAUUUGAGAACAUCCUGAGAAAGAGAAGAAUCACCUAGAAACCAGGUCCCUUCACUCAACACUGGAGAGCAUUUACAUAUUGCCCGAUAUCCAAAAAUCAACUUUUAAAAAAUAUUUUAAGGGGAAAAAAGGAUGUCUACCACAGCAUGGCUUGCCAAGCAGUUCCAUGUCUGCACCCGGGAUCUGAACUGGUGAACCCCAGGCCGCUGAGAAGCAGAACAUGUGAACUUAACAGCUCUGCCACCCGGCUGGCCCCAAAUUUUUUCAGUCUUACGGAAAGAUUCUCCACUAAUCGGAUAUCAGAUUACUUGGCAGCUACAAAGAGGGAUAAUUUUGAGUGUGGAAAGCUACCUGGUGACCCUCAAUCAGACCACAUGGAGACUCGCCAACAAGAAAGAACAGCCCUGGAAGCAUGUAGUAUCUAUUCAUAAAUUACUUGACUCUGAACUCUGGAUAUGGCAAUGAUUUUAGUGGUAGCCGUAAAUCAGACAAAUACCUGAAAAUGGAGAAAAUGGGGUUUACUGUCAGCAUGCCAAAAUCACUUUAAUCAAAUAAGGAAGCACAAUUUCAAUUGAUCGUUACUUUCAUAUUAGUUUUCUUCAUUCAUUGAUCCUAAGAAUGAAUAUAAAUGAUUCCCAAAACAUUGUUUACUUUUCUUACCAUCACUCAUUGAUAUAUUGAAGUCUGCAGAUGUCCUUUGAUUCUUGGUAGCUGUUAAUUAAGCAGGUGUUCAGUUCCUCUUCAG